This is a long non-coding RNA of Callorhinus ursinus (northern fur seal), 587 nucleotides long. RefSeq lists it as uncharacterized. Lineage: Eukaryota; Metazoa; Chordata; Mammalia; Carnivora; Otariidae. The record is from RefSeq and is a predicted model, not a curated record.
GAGAUAGCUUCAAGACUAAGAUGACCAUGAAAAAAAGAAGACACUGACUAUGCAGAAUGAGAGCCAUUGGAUGAUGUAUUUUCUCCAUUCACCUACCCUCUUUUUUCCCUCCUUCUUCACCUCAUUUGGAAGACUAGAGAGGCUGAGCAGUAAAUUCUGAGUCCCAGUGCCAGAAGAAAGAAAUACCUUUUUAGUCACAGAAAAAGAGAGACUAAGGAACGCAUGCUCAUAAUGUGUCCAUGAAGUGGUUUCAUCGUGUGAUAAAUGAAGGUGAAUGGAGAAUUCCCUUGAGUCAAGUGUGUGGUGGAACCCAUCAUUAUUUUCUCCCAAACCCACUCCUCCACUAUUCUCCAUCUUGGACUGUGAUAUCUCCAUCCACCCAAUUGUUUAGGCAAAAAACUUGGAUUCGUCUUUUGUUUUCCUUACUUCACUUACCCAUCUUGCAGCAAAUCCUCUUAGUUCUACCUCUAAAUAUGUAAAUAGAAUGUUUUUGAUAUCCCAUUACAUUCAUCCUAGUCUGGGGCACCAACACCUCUCACUGGGAUCAUUGAAAUAAUCUCCAAAUGUCAAAUGUGUGCUAAGUUAAA